Long non-coding RNA from Ictalurus punctatus (channel catfish), 2518 nucleotides. The record is from Ensembl. Lineage: Eukaryota; Metazoa; Chordata; Actinopteri; Siluriformes; Ictaluridae.
CACACACACACACACACACACAUAUAUAUAUAGAUAGAUAGAUAGAGGUAAAUAUGAUAUAGGUAUGUCUUUAUUAUAUAACCUUUUGAUCUUUUGUUUAAAAAAAUUCACAAAAAUACUCUGCUCUCAUAUCAAACAGCUGAAAAUAAAACACAGGUUUAUCCAAAAAUACAUCUUUAUUAAAUAUAAGUGUGCAACAAUUAUUGGCACCCUUUAAGUCAAUACUUUGUACUACCUCCCUUUGCCAAGAUAACAGCUCUGAGUCUACUCCUAUAAUGCCUGGUGAGGUUGGAGAAUACAUGGCAAGGGAUCUGAGACCAUUCCUCCAUACAGAAUCUCUCCAGAACGAUCCUCUUCACAUUGUGUCGAGACAAUAUAGUCACAUGUCCUUUUCCAGGUUGAUUCAUAACAUUUCUGGUUGACUUGGUCUUCCCCAUUGUUAUGAAUGACUAAUGUCUAAUGACUAAUGUGUUACCUUAUAUUAUACCCGUCAUGGUUGAAUAAUUUCCUGAUCGUGAUCACGCAGGUGUACAAGCAGUGUAAAAUAUCAAUUGGAAAAUACUUCAAAUACAUUUUUUCUCUUGUGAAUUCAUAGUGGUGGCAAUAAUUGUGGCACACAUUUAUAUAUAUGUGGCACACACAAUAUAUAUAUAUUGUUUGCAAUUGUUUGAUGUCCAUGAGAGCAGAGUAUUUUUGUGAUUUUUUUUUAAGCAAAAUAUCAGAAGGUUAACAAUAAAUGCAAAUAUUUCACAGCCUUCUUUGCUCAUAUUUACCAAGGGUGCCAAUGUGUGUACAUUUGAAGUGGAUAUAUGCACUGGAAGUAUAUUAAAUUACAAAGUGUCGGAAUACGCCUUUCCCCUCACGGUAAGUGUAAACGAGUGUGAAUGUGUGUGAAUGGAACCUGGCUAUAUUCCCACCUUGCACCCAGAGUUUCAGGGAUAGGCUCCAGAUCCACGGCGACCCAAAUCAAGAUAAAGCAAUUAAUUAAAGUGAGUGAGUGAGAGAGUGAAAGAGACUGAGAGACUCAAUGACCAAAAAGCAAGGAUGGGGUUUUCUGCUUUUCUCUGUUUCUCUAAAACUGUGUCCAUUAACAAAGAGCAUUACUUUGGCUCAAGACAAACUUUUCCUACACGGUGUCUACUGGCGCAUCAGCCUAGAACAUUAAUAGCUGUGUGCGUGUAUGUGUGUGUGGACAGGCAGUCAUUAGUGUGAGCAGGAAGCAUAGCAUGGCCCACUGAAUUAAUGACCUCACAGUAGGAGAGGGAAGCAGCUGGACAGACCUCGACUCACUGAUUUCAGAGGAUAUAUGCAAGAGAGUGAGAGAGAGAGAGAGAGAGAGAGAGAGAGAGAGAGAGAGAGAGAGAGAGAGAGAGAGAGAACAAUACGUUCUGCCUGAGCACAGUGUGACUCCAAUAAACACCCUUAAGUUAUUUUACUCAAAAAGUUUAACCAGUGUGCAUUUAAUAAUAAACACAUCCCAGGCUUUAAUACAAUUUUAAUUAAAAAAAAAAUGUACCAAUGGAAAAAAAAAGUCAGAAAUCAUUUUUGUAGAGCAAAGCUCUUAUAUACAGCAUAUUGCACUAUAUAACAUUGUCUAAAACUUCUAUACUGUAUCAAAACGUACGAAAACAACACGUUCCAGAGUGCACAGUACAGUCUCGCAGACACACAGUUCAAUGUUUACAACAAAUGCUACAUUUUCGCUGGGUCUCAUUUCUUGGUAUACAGAGAAUUGUGAGCCUCAAGACAAUUUUUUUCUUUUCUUUUUUUUAAACUUCUGAACUAAAAGGCUUUUAGCCAUGUCUAUAAUUGUAAAAUUUUACAAUAAUAGGUUUCUGGCAAUUUAAAAAAAAAUACAGUGUAGUUUAUUACAAAUGCCAAUUGAUAAAGAUAAAAAUAAAAAAAAUCCCUCUAUGCUUUAUUUUAAAAAGAAGAACAAGAUUGGAUUUUGUAUUAGGAGAAUGCCAGGAGAGGCUUCUUAGAAGAACACUGGAAUAUAGAUAUAUUUUUUAAAACAACAACUACGAGAUUGGACAAAAAUAUUACAAAAUAUUUUCCAGUGCAUGUAAAUCAAGAAAAUAGUGGAUACAGUGAAGACAUGCUAACUCAUUAACAUGGCCCAGUGUCUUGAUUAAUCUUUCCUACCCUGUUUUCAUCAUUGAGAGAUUAUAUUAUAUUGAAACAUUUGAAUGAAACCUGGUAGGAGACAGUGAGCAUCAUGGAAACGAGGUCAAUGAGAAUGGUGACCACAAGCUUUCAUUCACUGUUGUAUUAUGGGCAACGCAUUUCUUCGGGGACUUUUCUGUCUAGUAAUAAUGUUUAUGUAUAUGCAAUGUUUCAAAGGAUUCUAAAAAUAGGUUUCAAUUAUAUUUAAUGCAAUAUAAAGGUAGACAGGUGACGAAUUAAAGGUGUUGGGCCACCACAACAACAUUUAUUGUACUUAUUUCUUAUUUAUAUACGGUAUAAACAAAUACUGUGUGUGUGUGUGUGUGUGUGUGUGUGUGUAUACGCAUGUAUG